GUAUUUUAUUUAUUUUAUUUUUAGGCAAUUUCAAAAAAAAUUUGAAGUAUUUAAAAAAAAGGAUCCCUUUUUUUCUUCUUUUUUCUCUUUCCUCUUUUUCCUUCCCCCCCCCUUCCAAAAAAUGUGAAGGGGAGGGGAGGGGGAAAAAAAGAAAAAAAAGUUAAAGGAAAAAAAGGAAUACAAAAAAUUUCAAUAAAUGCACAUAAGAUGAAUACGGAUUUUUUUAAGAAUUGAUUUAUCCAUAUAUAAUUCCAUCAACCUUUAUUUAAUGAUCCUUCCGCAGGUUCACCUACGGAAA
Molecule: unclassified non-coding RNA, 298 nt
Filed under: uncultured fungus
Lineage: Eukaryota; Fungi
Description: sequence contains ITS1
Source: RNAcentral